GGGCACGACACCGGAGAGGGAGCCUGAGAAACGGCUACCANANNNNNNGNUGGCAGCAGGCGCGCAAAUUACCCAAUCCCGACANGNGGAGGUAGUGACAAUAAAUAACAAUACGGGGUUCUUUCGGAUCUCGUAAUUGGAAUGAGUACAAUUUAAAUCUCUUAACGAGGAACAAUUGGAGGGCAAGUCUGGUGCCAGCAGCCGCGGUAAUUCCAGCUCCAAUAGCGUAUAUUAAAGUUGUUGCAGUUAAAAAGCUCGUAGUUGAAUUUCGGGAUCAGAUUGUCGGUCGUGCCUCGGUACGCACUGGCAUUAUUGGUUCCUACCUUCUGAAGAACCGCGAUGUCAUUAAUUUGGUGUCGUGGGGAAUCAGGACUGUUACUUUGAAAAAAUUAGAGUGUUUAAAGCAGGCGCACGCUUGAAUACAUUAGCAUGGAAUAAUGAAAUAGGACGUUUGAUUCUAUUUUGUUGGUUUCUAGGAUCGACGUAAUGAUUAAUAGGGAUAGUUGGGGGCAUUAGUAUUCAAUUGUCAGAGGUGAAAUUCUUGGAUUUAUUGAAGACUAACUACUGCGAAAGCAUUUGCCAAGGAUGUUUUCAUUAAUCAAGAACGAAAGUUAGGGGAUCGAAGACGAUCAGAUACCGUCGUAGU
This 646-nucleotide ribosomal RNA is filed under the name uncultured Glomeromycotina. Its description in RNAcentral is "SSU rRNA". It matches the Rfam family "Eukaryotic small subunit ribosomal RNA", at positions 373 to 1024 of the family's 1831-position model. The record is from RNAcentral. Lineage: Eukaryota; Fungi; Glomeromycota.